RNAcentral lists this long non-coding RNA (584 nucleotides) under Fukomys damarensis (Damara mole-rat). RNAcentral describes it as "lncRNA (ENSFDAG00000024215.1)". The record is from RNAcentral. Lineage: Eukaryota; Metazoa; Chordata; Mammalia; Rodentia; Bathyergidae.
UCUAUCGUGAUGCAUUCUCUAGUAACAGUUGCUUAGCUACCUCACAAGUCUUUUAUUCUCUGCCCAUGGAUCAGUCCGACCAGGCCUCCAAUAGUGUGAGCUGCUCUUUUGAUUGUCCCUCCAUAUCCUCUGCCCUUCAUGCUACUAAAAACAGCGGUCCAGAUAACAUGGAGAGCAGAUUCUGAUGUCUAUGAGAGGAACUACGCUAUAUCUCAUAAAAACAGCAGUUUUAUUACUAUGUUCCCAAGUGACCUUACUUCUUCCUCCAAAUCUUCUAAAUGAUUAUUCUGUAAGUGUCAGUUGUUGCCAAGCGUAAGUCUCUCAGAAGCCAAGGGUACACACUGUGACAGGGAAGUUUCCAUCAAAGACUACUUUAAAGAAAGCACUGUUUGGGAAAGAACCAACUUCAUAAAAAUAAACAAGCAAAGCCUACUGGUUGUGCGAAGCAAGUCACCUGGAUAAUAAAGGCAAAACAAAUGAAAAUGCCAAGUUCUGUAAGCUCGUGAAUGCAAAUACUCUAAUAUGACUACCUUGAUUAAACAAUAAAUAAUGAAACAUAUCCUGACGGGUAAUUUUAUCCCAGA